This 4333-nucleotide unclassified non-coding RNA is filed under the name Manduca sexta (tobacco hornworm). RNAcentral describes it as "uncharacterized LOC115442445, transcript variant X3". The record is from RNAcentral. Lineage: Eukaryota; Metazoa; Arthropoda; Insecta; Lepidoptera; Sphingidae.
UAUUUAGCAUAACCGCUUAGGUCGGUGUAAGCGAGAGCAAAAUAAAACAAACUGCACUUGGAACGCAGUUGUCAUUUAAAAUCGAUCAAUACAACAGAAUUAUUGUGAAUUUGAUCCAAAUUGGAAGCAACUGAAAUUUAUAAAAAAUGUUAUUAAAAGGGAACCUCCUCGAAUCUUUAACAAUCGUUUCCUGCAGUGGCACAGUUAUCUGCAUAUUACUAAAUUGUCUAACAAAUAUAUCGCCGAUUACUGGAGUAUGGUUUUACAUUUAUUUAUUAACGAUAUUUUUAGUGUCUGUUUUCUUGAAUUUCAAGUUUAUACAGUGGUUGUUACGGUUGAAUAAGCCUCUAAAGUAUGACUUGGAGGGUUUGUUGGCGGAAUAUCCACACUUAUCGUUUUUGUCUCGUGUUCUGCCGGACACCAAACGCAGUAAGAAGGUUCCAUACAAGGAGUAUGACACGAACGAGUUGAGCGUGAUAUCCACGGUGUUGGAGAAGAGGCUGGUGUCUUCGUGGUAUAUAUCGUACAUAUCGGAGGAGAUUGGUUUUCCGUUUGCGUGCAAACAAAUGUUAGAUCAGAUGAUUGGCGGGACCUUUCAGAUAUGCAAUAAAAUAGAAACAAAAGACGUGUAUGUCGAUAUUUGUACAAUCCUAUCGUUACAUUUAAAAGAAUACCGGAAAGCCCUUAAACGUCAUGAAAAGCUGAAGAAACAGCCAAUCGAGUCAUGUUACAAUAAAGUGCACAUUACUGCAGACCCUACAAAGAAGAUCUCCACUGCUGACCACUGUACGAACAUUCUAAGAGUUAUAUUCAAAGAACUAGUACCAUGGGAGUUGUGGGACACUCCGCACUCUGAAUUAUUGAUUCGUAUUCUAGCAAAAAAAUUAGACAAUUUUAUUAGUAAUACACUAGUAGAUCCACUGUGGUUGAAUGAUAAGUUAAUGACUUUACUAAAAGGGGAGGAGGUACAGCCCGAAGAGGAGCCGCAGUCCGACUUCUGGGAGGAAGUAAAGCCAGAAGUCACAUGUAUUGAGACAGCAUUAUCUACAUUUAUAACUAAGAGUACUGCGCCGAUACUUCAGAGAGGUAUUAACGAGGAUGUUGUUGGGCCUAGUCCGGAGGUCAAGAAUCUGAACAUGGAGGCGGUUGAGGAGGUGGCUGUGGCCAGCGAGCCAGUAGAGAUCAAAUUGUCUCCAAUAUUGAGGCAACGAAGGGGUCGGCAGGGCAGGAAUGAAGUAAAGAUAUAUGACAGGAUUAUUGAAGGUAGUGUAAAGACCUGGGAGACUGACAUGGAUCUGCAGUGCAUCAGCCUGGGUCAGGAUUUGCUGGCGAGCCUGGACGGCGAGCUGACGCUUAGCAGGUUGUGGGGUCAGGACGGGAGCCCCAACCCCCCGAGGGCGGCGUCUCCGCAGCCGCUGUGGUUUGGUGAAGAAGACAACAUAGAGAUAGAGAUGGACACGAGCCCGCAGAAGGAGUCGAAGAAGGAGCACAGCCCGAAGCCAGCAGAUGCACUCCUCAAGGACAUCCAGACCACCGUCAGCCAGGCGAAGAACAAGAUCGGCGACCUGCAGGUCCGAUUAGAUGGACACAAGCCUGCUGACGAGGCAGCCGGAAUGAUGGAGGGGCUCCUGGACUUCGGGAUCGCCGGUCUGAAGAAAGGACUCCGGUUCACUGGGCUCAGUGACGACUCCCAGGAGAAGUCUCCCUCGCAUCGCACCAGCGAAAAGUCUGGCGAUAAGACUCCGCCCGAGCAGAGAAACAAGGCGCAGUCUGAAGCUAAGGAUAUUCCCGGUCCAGCGGUGCAAAGAGAAGAGAAUGGCAGUGGGGCGCCACCGCUACUGAAGCAGCAGAGAGUUGUCUCACAGGACAGUGUGCCCUGGCAGAGCCGCAGCAGCAGUCGCGCGGCGGCGCCCGCGCCGACACCCGCGCCCAGCGAGUCGCCCGAGCCGCAGUACGAGGAGGUGGCCGACCUGUCCACCAGCAUCGCGCGCCUGCGCACCCUGCUGCAGCAGCGAGCUCACACCAACAGCGCCAGAUGCGAGGAGGUGUGGUGGGAGGGAGCCGAGGAGACGCGCGGCCGGACGCAGCAUCACCACUCCAGCAGGCCCGUCGACACCGCCACACUUGCAGACGAGUAUGACAUGAACAUGGAGCGCAACUCCUCACCGGGCCAGAGCUCCAACAACAUGCAGAGACUUGACAAAUUAUUCCAACGCACGGUGACUGGUGUGUUCAAUUCGAUAAAGACGGCGGUGGGCGCGGAGGGCGAGGGCCGCGACGGGAGGGACGCGCGGGAGGGCAGGGAGGGACAGGGGAGGGACGACGCGCCGCAACACCCGCACGUGCAUGAUUGGGUGUAUGUGUGCACUUCGAUAGAGCACAGCGUGGGCGGGUCGGUGGCGCGUGCGCUGGGCUGCCGGCGCGCCUACUCGCACGUGGACGCCGCGCUCGACUCGCUGCGCCAGCUGCGCGCGCCGCCCGCCGCGCCGCCGCACACGCCCGACGACUUCGGUCGGUACCGACACCGGACACACUCUACACUAUACAGGUGGGCGGGUCGGUGGCGCGUGCGCUGGGCUGCCGGCGCGCCUACUCGCACGUGGACGCCGCGCUCGACUCGCUGCGCCAGCUGCGCGCGCCGCCCGCCGCGCCGCCGCACACGCCCGACGACUUCGGUCGGUACCGACACCGGACACACUCUACACUAUACAGGUGGGCGGGUCGGUGGCGCGUGCGCUGGGCUGCCGGCGCGCCUACUCGCACGUGGACGCCGCGCUCGACUCGCUGCGCCAGCUGCGCGCGCCGCCCGCCGCGCCGCCGCACACGCCCGACGACUUCGGUCGGUACCGACACCGGACACACUCUACACUAUACAGGUGGGCGGGUCGGUGGCGCGUGCGCUGGGCUGCCGGCGCGCCUACUCGCACGUGGACGCCGCGCUCGACUCGCUGCGCCAGCUGCGCGCGCCGCCCGCCGCGCCGCCGCACACGCCCGACGACUUCGGUCGGUACCGACACCGGACACACUCUACACUAUACAGGUGGGCGGGUCGGUGGCGCGUGCGCUGGGCUGCCGGCGCGCCUACUCGCACGUGGACGCCGCGCUCGACUCGCUGCGCCAGCUGCGCGCGCCGCCCGCCGCGCCGCCGCACACGCCCGACGACUUCGGUCGGUACCGACACCGGACACACUCUACACUAUACAGGUGGGCGGGUCGGUGGCGCGUGCGCUGGGCUGCCGGCGCGCCUACUCGCACGUGGACGCCGCGCUCGACUCGCUGCGCCAGCUGCGCGCGCCGCCCGCCGCGCCGCCGCACACGCCCGACGACUUCGGUCGGUACCGACACCGGACACACUCUACACUAUACAGGUGGGCGGGUCGGUGGCGCGUGCGCUGGGCUGCCGGCGCGCCUACUCGCACGUGGACGCCGCGCUCGACUCGCUGCGCCAGCUGCGCGCGCCGCCCGCCGCGCCGCCGCACACGCCCGACGACUUCGGUCGGUACCGACACCGGACACACUCUACACUAUACAGGUGGGCGGGUCGGUGGCGCGUGCGCUGGGCUGCCGGCGCGCCUACUCGCACGUGGACGCCGCGCUCGACUCGCUGCGCCAGCUGCGCGCGCCGCCCGCCGCGCCGCCGCACACGCCCGACGACUUCGGUCGGUACCGACACCGGACACACUCUACACUAUACAGGUGGGCGGGUCGGUGGCGCGUGCGCUGGGCUGCCGGCGCGCCUACUCGCACGUGGACGCCGCGCUCGACUCGCUGCGCCAGCUGCGCGCGCCGCCCGCCGCGCCGCCGCACACGCCCGACGACUUCGACGAGUGGUGCAGCGUGUCGGGUCCUCGCUGGUGUGCCCUGUGGGCGUUGCUGAGCGCGGCGGAGCUCGGACACUCGCACGUCACACACCGGAUCGCCACGCUGCUGUUCGCAGAUCUAGCAGAGUCGCUCAUAAGCAUGUGGUUGGAUGACUUCACGGCGUGGCUUAGAAAGCAGGUGUUUGUGGUGUUCGAGCAGAUGUCUAACCAGGAGACUACAUACGCGAAGCCGAAGCCGCUGCGGAAGAUGGACCUGGACGAGACCUGCAAGGCGCUCAUGGAAAGGGCUACAGUACUGCACGUAUUCGGCGAGGAGGCUCUCUCGAACUCUGUGAAGCUCGUGGUGUCCAGCUUCAGCCACCAGCAGCUCAACCAGGACGUGGCGUUGCGGCUGCUCGACUUGCUCGCUCAUCACUUCAAAGACUCCGCCGCGCUGCGUAACCCCUCUUUUGAUACCAAUUGAGUCUGGAUACCACCAGAAUUUUGAUACCAACUGAGUCUUUAGACGCCAC